Molecule: long non-coding RNA, 1415 nt
Organism: Oryzias melastigma (Indian medaka)
Lineage: Eukaryota; Metazoa; Chordata; Actinopteri; Beloniformes; Adrianichthyidae
Exons: 4
Source: RefSeq, a predicted model, not a curated record
AAAAAUUUAUAUUUUGUGCCAAACUUACUUUAAAAAUACGAAUACAACAUUUAUUUUUACGUUUAACAUGUCUCUUGAGAAUACGAAUUUUCCUCGUUUUGAAUACGACUUCUCUCUGUCUUGGAUACGGAUUUCUCCUGUUACCUAACUGUCAAAACUACGUCACGGGGUCACAGGCUUAUGCAUCGAGUGCCGGAACAUCGAGCCGCCGAGCCGGCAAACGACGCAUGCGCAUUGCAGUUUAGCCCUCAUGGGCUGUGUCCAAUAACUUUAUUGAACAAACAAAACAACGAAAGCUGUUUUAACUUUGCUAGCUAGAUUCCUGUAGCCUGGCCACCGUGAGUUGAACGUGUUGUGAAUCAUUUAGCUCGAAAUGAUUCUGAGGUUGUUUUUUUUUUAUUUAACUUUUACUUUUGGAGGAGUCGGAGCAGAUUCAUCGCCGCCACUUGUUGGUAUUUUUCCGGCGGAGACAAAACGAUCUGCAGACUAGACUCCCGUAAUCCAGAAUUAACCAGUCUCUCAAUCCUGGAGCUGUUUGUCCAACAGUGAAGACCCAAGACCAGACUUCAGAGUGAACAGGAACUCUCCUGCAGUCUUCCUGAACCUCCUUGAUCAGGAUCAGUGACAUCCACAUCCUCCUGCAGGUGCUGGAGCUGCAUCACACUUCUGUACCUCAUGUUGUCACAGCUUGUGCCACCCUCCCCAACAUCUGCCUCUGUGUUGACGACACCGAGGCCCCAGAGGAAGAUGUGGAGGUGAUGAUGAGGACGCUGGUUUGGAGGUCACCAGCGGUGCUCUCUGGCAGGACCAACUACCUGCUGAGGUUUCUGCCCUGGGGGAGGUACCACCUUGAUUACUGGUAACAGCAUCCGUCGACACCCAGCCCUGCAAACCCUGAAGAUGGACGACGCAGUCUGCAGUUAAGAUGAUCCUGAAACUUUCUGUAGACCACCUUGCAAGAUGUUACAACCACCACCCAGAAAGUUCCAGCCCGGGUCUCAGUCGAAGCCCCCCCACUCAUGUCAACUAUCUUUGUAAAUAGUUGGAAAUAAAAGUUACAAUUAAUUCAUGACAAUGACUGUGUUUGAUUUAGAUCUUUAUUUAAAUUAACAAAACAAAAACAAUCAUGUUUAAUAUAUCAAAUAUAAACUUCAUUUAUUCUCAGACAUCUAAGGAUUUUAACGGCAAUUCUUUCCAGCAGACUAAAGUUGGUCAAAAGUUUCCCUCCUCUCUCGUGCGCUCUGCUCUUCUGCCUCAUGUCCUCUGUUUAGGUCUAGAAGCUCAUCACUGUUUCUUCUUAUUUUUCUUCUUCCAGCCGGUGGCUCACUCCUUUCUCUUUCUUCACUCUCCUCUCUUUCACCCACUGCUGUACUUCUCCAGCAGAUCCAUUUUCUUCAGGAUUGUCCUGAAAAAAA